This 502-nucleotide ribosomal RNA is filed under the name uncultured bacterium. RNAcentral describes it as "partial 16S ribosomal RNA". It matches the Rfam family "Bacterial small subunit ribosomal RNA", at positions 899 to 1397 of the family's 1533-position model. The record is from RNAcentral.
ACUCAAAGGAAUAGACGGGGACCCGCACAAGCGGUGGAGCAUGUGGAUUAAUUCGAUACUAACCGAAGAACCUUACCCAGGUUUGACAUCGAGGGUAAGCCUAUGAAAGUAGGCCCUCUCCCACAAGGAGACCCGAAGACAGAUGUUGCAUGGCUGUCGUCAGCUCGUGCCGUGAGGUGUACGGUUAAGUCCGCCAACGAGCGCAACCCUCGUCCUGUGUUACCAGCGAUUAAAGUCGGGCACUCACAGGAGACCGCCGGUGUAAGCCGGAGGAAGGUGGGGAUGACGUCAAGUCAGCAUGGCUCUUACGCCUGGGGCUUCACACAUGCUACAAUGGGCGCAACAGAGGGACGCAAUGCCGCGAGGUGGAGCAAAUCCCAAAAAUACGCCCCCAGUUCAGAUUGUAGUCUGCAACUCGACUACAUGAAGUCGGAAUCGCUAGUAAACGCAGGUCAGCUAUACUGCGUUGAAUACGUUCCCGGGUCUUGCACACACCGCCCGU